UAAAUAUUGUAGAUUUUAGGUUCUUGAAGGCGAAAUCUUUUAAGAUUAAAAGGGAAAGUGGUGAAAACCCACUACAGCCCCCGCUACUGUAAAAGCAGACAAAUCUCUAAAAUAUCCACUGACUUUUAGUUGGGAAGGAGGAGAGGAGGAUGAAGCUUAAGUCAGGAGACCUGCCUAAAUUUCUGUGCUAUC
RNAcentral lists this non-coding RNA (192 nucleotides) under Clostridium chauvoei. Lineage: Bacteria; Bacillati; Bacillota; Clostridia; Eubacteriales; Clostridiaceae. The record is from RNAcentral.